RNAcentral lists this ribosomal RNA (301 nucleotides) under uncultured bacterium. Its description in RNAcentral is "partial 16S ribosomal RNA". It matches the Rfam family "Bacterial small subunit ribosomal RNA", at positions 509 to 807 of the family's 1533-position model. The record is from RNAcentral.
CAGCAGCCACGGUAAUACGUAGGUGGCAAGCGUUGUCCGGAAUUAUUGGGCGUAAAGCGCGCGCAGGUGGUUCCUUAAGUCUGAUGUGAAAGCCCACGGCUCAACCGUGGAGGGUCAUUGGAAACUGGGGGACUUGAGUGCAGAAGAGGAAAGUGGAAUUCCAAGUGUAGCGGUGAAAUGCGUAGAUAUUUGGAGGAACACCAGUGGCGAAGGCGACUUUCUGGUCUGUAACUGACACUGAGGCGCGAAAGCGUGGGGAGCAAACAGGAUUAGAUACCCCAGUAGUCCCUGUCUCUUAUAC